RNAcentral lists this ribosomal RNA (253 nucleotides) under uncultured bacterium. Its description in RNAcentral is "partial 16S ribosomal RNA". It matches the Rfam family "Bacterial small subunit ribosomal RNA", at positions 524 to 776 of the family's 1533-position model. The record is from RNAcentral.
UACGGGGGGGGCAAGCGUUGUUCGGAAUUACUGGGCGUAAAGGGCUCGUAGGCGGCCAACUAAGUCAGACGUGAAAUCCCUCGGCUUAACCGGGGAACUGCAUCUGAUACUGGAUGGCUUGAGUUCGGGAGAGGGAUGCGGAAUUCCAGGUGUAGCGGUGAAAUGCGUAGAUAUCAGGAGGAACACCGGUGGUGUAAACGGCUUUCUGGACCAUAACUGACGCUGAGGCACGAAAGCGUGGGUAGCAAACAGG